CUGCGGCAGUCUAACACAUGCAGUCGACGGUAACAGGUCUUCGGAUGCUGACGAGUGGCGGACGGGUGAGUAAUGCGUAGGAAUCUGUCUUUUAGUGGGGGACAACCCAGGGAAACUUGGGCUAAUACCGCAUGAGCCCUGAGGGGGAAAGCGGGGGAUCUUCGGACCUCGCGCUAAGAGAGGAGCCUACGUCCGAUUAGCUAGUUGGCGGGGUAAAGGCCCACCAAGGCGACGAUCGGUAGCUGGUCUGAGAGGACGACCAGCCACACUGGGACUGAGACACGGCCCAGACUCCUACGGGAGGCAGCAGUGGGGAAUUUUUCGCAAUGGGGGCAACCCUGACGAAGCAAUGCCGCGUGGAUGAAGAAGGCCUUCGGGUUGUAAAGUCCUUUCGUGGAGGACGAAAAGGCGGGUUCUAAUACAAUCUGCUGUUGACGUGAAUCCAAGAAGAAGCACCGGCUAACUCCGUGCCAGCAGCCGCGGUAAUACGGGGGGUGCAAGCGUUAAUCGGAAUCACUGGGCGUAAAGGGUGCGUAGGCGGUACGUUAGGUCUGUCGUGAAAUCCCCGGGCUCAACCUGGGAAUGGCGGUGGAAACUGGCGCGCUAGAGUAUGGGAGAGGUGGUGGAAUUCCAGGUGUAGCGGCGAAAUGCGUAGAAGAUCUGAAGGAACAUCAGUUGGCGAAGGCGCGACUGUCCUCAAUACUGACGCCUCAAGGCACUUAAGCCUGGGGGGAGCUAAACAUGGAAUAGAAUAGCCUGUUAGUCCACGCCCGUAAUCCAAUGAUAACUUGAAUGUCUUAGUUGCCUAGGCGUACUGAGAGAUCUGAAGCUACACGCGCUUCAAGAUAUAAGCGCUCGGCAGAAUACAGCCGCUAGAUCAGGUCAACCGAAGUGAAUCUUAGG
Molecule: ribosomal RNA, 903 nt
Filed under: Acidithiobacillus ferrooxidans
Lineage: Bacteria; Pseudomonadati; Pseudomonadota; Acidithiobacillia; Acidithiobacillales; Acidithiobacillaceae
Description: bacterial SSU rRNA
Rfam family: Bacterial small subunit ribosomal RNA (bases 1-806)
Source: RNAcentral